GAGCAGUUGAGUCGUAUGUUCAAGGUAUGACCCAGACUUGCUCUUGAUUCCGAAAAUAUAUUAGCAAAAAGGACAAGUUUGGGGAAUUUGAGCUACUGACUGGGGUAAUUUAGGAUUUAUACUAGGAAAAUGAAGUUUUGAUGUGGUCUGGUACUCCUUUUUAUAUAUGCAUGGUUCCCUCUGUUGAAAAAUCCUCAAUAAAACCUUUUCUGAAUGAAUGGGAAUUGUAGCAUAGUCAUAAUAAACUAUCAUGAAAGAGAAAUAAGAAGUUUUGAUGGAGCUUCCUGAAUUGUUGCAUGAUUUCUUUCCUUUAUGCUGUUUUAUUAUUGUAACUAUGGAUUUGAAUUUGCAGCCUGACAUUAAGGCAAUUAAGA
RNAcentral lists this unclassified non-coding RNA (374 nucleotides) under Hevea brasiliensis (rubber tree). Lineage: Eukaryota; Viridiplantae; Streptophyta; Magnoliopsida; Malpighiales; Euphorbiaceae. The record is from RNAcentral.